Molecule: unclassified non-coding RNA, 326 nt
Filed under: rhizosphere metagenome
Description: partial ribosomal RNA internal transcribed spacer region
Source: RNAcentral
GUAGGUGAACCUGCGGAAGGAUCAUUAACACGUACCCUUUCUUUACAAACCACUUACUCGUCUGUCGCAAGGCAGAUGGUGAACUAGAUGGCUUUCUUCCGAAUGCAGCAAUGCAUUUGGCCCUGUGAUAAGAUGGAUAGAUGCUAACAGGGAGCGGGAAGUCGGCUGGCAGUACUAAUUCAGUUGUGCUGUCGGCUAAACUAAGCAUUUGUCUAAAUCAUUAACCCCAAUACCUUUUCGACAGAAACUUUUUUCGACAGAGCUUCGGCUUUUAGAAAAUCAUUAUAAAAUCUAUACAACUUUUAGCAAUGGAUGUCUAGGUUCUC